AGAUGCACAUGAUGAAGAUUCUGUUUCUGCUUUUUCCUCCUAUAGAUGAUACCAAUACGGGGACCUCUCACCAACAAACAGAAAACUAAGGGAAGACGUAUCAGGAGCCCUCCCUCCGUGCCGGCUGCAGGAGUGUCUAUGAAAACCAUCAGGAGGACAGGGAGGGGCAGGGGUGAGACGGGCCCCAGGAUCCUGACUCUCAGCUGUUCCAAAGUGCUUCAGCACCUUGCUCCUCUCCCUGAAGAAUCUGACCACCGCCACCACCAUCUGCAAAAAUCUCCUAAGUGGCUCUAAUCAAGUCUGAUCUGUCCACCUAAUUACCUAGAUACCUACUGGGAAGCAUUUACAUUUAUUUUCUUGAUUUUUUUUCUGUUCCUUUUCAUAUAUUAAAAUGUCAGAAAUAGCAACCCCAAAGGGUGCUUAAUAAAUACCGGAUGAGUUUCUCUUGAAAUCUUUUUAAGACCUCUGAUAACUUGCACUUCCCUUGGUUUAAUUUUUUAUUUUUUAGAUACUAGGGAUUAGUAUUUAAUUUAGAGACAA
This 540-nucleotide long non-coding RNA is filed under the name Ictidomys tridecemlineatus (thirteen-lined ground squirrel). RNAcentral describes it as "lncRNA (ENSSTOG00000032224.1)". The record is from RNAcentral. Lineage: Eukaryota; Metazoa; Chordata; Mammalia; Rodentia; Sciuridae.